This 253-nucleotide ribosomal RNA is filed under the name uncultured bacterium. RNAcentral describes it as "partial 16S ribosomal RNA". It matches the Rfam family "Bacterial small subunit ribosomal RNA", at positions 524 to 776 of the family's 1533-position model. The record is from RNAcentral.
UACGGGGGGGGCAAGCGUUGUUCGGAAUUACUGGGCGUAAAGGGCUCGUAGGCGGCCAACUAAGUCGGAUGUGAAAUCCCCAGGCUUAACCUGGGAACUGCAUCCGAUACUGGAUGGCUUGAAUUCGGGAGAGGGAUGCAGAAUUCCAGGUGUAGCGGUGAAAUGCGUAGAGAUGUGGAGGAACACCGAUGGCGAAGGCAGCCUCCUGGGCCAAUACUGACGCUCAUGCACGAAAGCGUGGGAAGCAAACAGG